Molecule: ribosomal RNA, 465 nt
Filed under: uncultured bacterium
Lineage: Bacteria
Description: bacterial SSU rRNA
Rfam family: Bacterial small subunit ribosomal RNA
Source: RNAcentral
GCCAGACUCCUACGGGAGGCAGCAGUGAGGAAUAUUGGUCAAUGGGCUUACGCCUGAACCAGCCAAGUCGCGUGAGGGAAGACUGCCCUAUGGGUUGUAAACCUCUUUUGUCGGGGAGCAAAAGACGCCACGUGUGGCGUUCCGAGAGUACCCGAAGAAAAAGCAUCGGCUAACUACGUGCCAGCAGCCGCGGUAAUACGUAGGGGGCAAGCGUUAUCCGGAUUUACUGGGUGUAAAGGGAGCGUAGACGGCAGCGCAAGUCUGAAGUGAAAUGCCGGGGCUUAACCCCGGAACUGCUUUGGAAACUGUGCAGCUAGAGUGCAGGAGAGGUAAGUGGAAUUCCUAGUGUAGCGGUGAAAUGCGUAGAUAUUAGGAGGAACACCAGUGGCGAAGGCGACUUACUGGACUGUAACUGACGUUGAGGCUCGAAAGCGUGGGGAGCAAACAGGAUUAGAUACCCUUGUA